Molecule: non-coding RNA, 118 nt
Organism: Erinaceus europaeus (western European hedgehog)
Lineage: Eukaryota; Metazoa; Chordata; Mammalia; Eulipotyphla; Erinaceidae
Source: Rfam
GGGCUCUGGAGAUAGUGUUUUAAGAGGCUAACACAAAAGGGUAAACCCAGUAAGUCUCCAUAAGACCCAGGGAAGACAUUGUGAAACUCUUCUUUGGAUCCUGUUUGUAGUUAGUUAA